This is a non-coding RNA of Bos taurus (domestic cattle), 72 nucleotides long. The record is from Rfam. Lineage: Eukaryota; Metazoa; Chordata; Mammalia; Artiodactyla; Bovidae.
UCCCUGGUGGCUCACCUGGUAAAGAAUCCGCCUGCAAAGUGGGAGACCUGGGUUCGAUCCCUAGGUUGGGAA